CCCUAUGGGGCGCACCAGGGCGUUUCUUGCCAACCUGGAUCCGUCCGAUGAAGAUUGGGUGUGACUGGUGAAAUUCGAAUUUGCCACUUCUCAAAGGAUCCUAUUCGGACCUGGAAUCGUAAAGGAACUUGGAAAACUUGCCGGGUCCUUAGGUAGGCGUGCCUUAUUGGUAUGCGGUUCAGGCAACGCUCCUUUCCAAUCAGCCCUGGAAAGCCUAAAUCAAGCCGGCUUGGCUGUCAGUCAGUAUCCUGUGGUCAGCGAACCUGAUCUGGCUGCGGUUCAAAAUGGACUGAACUUUGCCCGAUCAGAGGCUUGUGAUGUGAUCGUUGGCAUUGGCGGGGGGGC
RNAcentral lists this ribosomal RNA (345 nucleotides) under uncultured prokaryote. RNAcentral describes it as "partial 16S ribosomal RNA". The record is from RNAcentral.